UGUGGGAGCGGGCUUGCUCGCGAUCCAGACGCUGCAGUCUUUCAGUGAAAGCACGGUGACGCCAUCGCGAGCAAGCCCGCUCCCACA
RNAcentral lists this unclassified non-coding RNA (87 nucleotides) under Pseudomonas psychrophila. Lineage: Bacteria; Pseudomonadati; Pseudomonadota; Gammaproteobacteria; Pseudomonadales; Pseudomonadaceae. The record is from RNAcentral.